RNAcentral lists this non-coding RNA (31 nucleotides) under Mus musculus (house mouse). Lineage: Eukaryota; Metazoa; Chordata; Mammalia; Rodentia; Muridae. The record is from RNAcentral.
UCCAAUAUGUUAAGCAAUGGAGAAGGGAUGU